UGAGGAAUAUUGCGCAAUGGGGGAAACCCUGACGCAGCAACGCCGCGUGGGUGACGAAGGCCUUCGGGUCGUAAAGCCCUUUCGGACGGGACGAACGCUUUCCGGUGAUAACUCGGGAAGCUUGACGGUACCGUAAGAAGAAGCACCGGCUAACUCCGUGCCAGCAGCCGCGGUAAUACGGAGGGUGCAAGCGUUGUUCGGAAUUACUGGGCGUAAAGCGCGUGUAGGCGGCCUUGUAAGUCAGAUGUGAAAGCCCUCGGCUUAACCGGGGAAGUGCAUCUGAAACUGCUUGGCUUGAGUACCGGAGAGGGAGACGGAAUUCCCAGUGUAGAGGUGAAAUUCGUAGAUAUUGGGAGGAACACCGGUGGCGAAAGCGGUCUCCUGGACGGAUACUGACGCU
RNAcentral lists this ribosomal RNA (400 nucleotides) under uncultured bacterium. RNAcentral's name for it is "bacterial SSU rRNA". It matches the Rfam family "Bacterial small subunit ribosomal RNA", at positions 355 to 747 of the family's 1533-position model. The record is from RNAcentral.